AACGCGAAGAACCUUACCAAGUCUUGACAUAUUACGGAAGCAGUUAGAGAUAAUUGCUUACAUCUCCGGAUGACUGUAAUACAGGUGGUGCAUGGUUGUCGUCAGCUCGUGUCGUGAGAUGUUGGGUUAAGUCCCAUAACGAGCGCAACCCCUAUUGCUAGUUACCAUCAUUAAGUUGGGGACUCUAGUAAUACUGCCGGUGACAAACCGGAGGAAGGUGGGGAUGACGUCAAAUCAUCAUGCCCUUUAUGACUUGGGCUACACACGUGCUACAAUGGCAGGUACACAGGGUUGCAAGACUGCGAAGUUAAGCGAAACUCAAAAAGCCUGUCCAGUUCGGAUUGCACUCUGCAACUCGAGUGCAUGAAGUGGAGUGCUAGUAAUCGUGA
RNAcentral lists this ribosomal RNA (389 nucleotides) under uncultured Anaerococcus sp. RNAcentral's name for it is "bacterial SSU rRNA". It matches the Rfam family "Bacterial small subunit ribosomal RNA", at positions 958 to 1347 of the family's 1533-position model. The record is from RNAcentral. Lineage: Bacteria; Bacillati; Bacillota; Tissierellia; Tissierellales; Peptoniphilaceae.